Molecule: ribosomal RNA, 397 nt
Filed under: uncultured bacterium
Lineage: Bacteria
Description: partial 16S ribosomal RNA
Rfam family: Bacterial small subunit ribosomal RNA
Source: RNAcentral
AUACGGAGGGGGCGAGCGUUGUCCGGAAUGAUUGGGCGUAAAGGGCGCGUAGGCGGCCCGGUAAGUCUGGAGUGAAAGUCCUGUUUUUAAGAUGGGAAUUGCUUUGGAUACUGUCGGGCUUGAGUGCAGGAGAGGUAAGUGGAAUUCCCAGUGUAGCGGUGAAAUGCGUAGAGAUUGGGAGGAACACCAGUGGCGAAGGCGACUUACUGGACUGUAACUGACGCUAAGGCGCGAAAGUGUGGGGAGCAAACAGGAUUAGAUACCCUGGUAGUCCACACUGUAAACGAUGAAUACUAGGUGUAGGGGGUAUCGACUCCCUCUGUGCCGCAGUUAACACAAUAAGUAUUCCGCCUGGGGAGUACGGCCGCAAGGUUGAAACUCAAAGGAAUUGGCGGGG